RNAcentral lists this long non-coding RNA (467 nucleotides) under Anas platyrhynchos platyrhynchos (common mallard). RNAcentral's name for it is "lncRNA (ENSAPLG00000024707.1)". The record is from RNAcentral. Lineage: Eukaryota; Metazoa; Chordata; Aves; Anseriformes; Anatidae.
GUGGCUAUGUUUUACAAGUAACCUUGUGCUGGUUGGCUGAAAUAUGAGUCCACAGCAUUUAAACCAAUAAUAUUGUACAAGUUCUAGUGUUUUCCUUAGACUCCUGGGUAUCGGUUAGCUGCAAAGCUGCCAAAGGACAUUCCACAGUCAAAGGAAAUUGAGUGUAGGUGGGCAGUCCAGAGCCCAAGUGCAUACUUUAUAAUCUCUCAGUUGUUAUACUUACGAGAAGAGUUUUUCAUGGAGGAGAUGGCAAUGAGUGUUUUUCUUCCCAAGUGGUCGCAGCAACAUUGGGAUCAGAACGGAUACAGAGGUACAAACAUGUGGACUGUGAUCCACUUGCAGUUGGUCUUAUAAAAAGAACCUAAGGAUCAAUGGCAUUCAGGCUGGAAAGAGCAUCCCUGGAUGAUAACAGAUGAUGAUUUCUAGGGGAAAAUAAACAAUGUAAGUACUCAAAUAUUUCUAUAUUU